UCCCUGGUGGUCCUGUGGUUAGGAUUCUGUGCUUUAACUGCCGAGGGCCCAGAUUCAAUUCCUAGUCAGGGAA
Molecule: transfer RNA, 73 nt
Filed under: Bos taurus (domestic cattle)
Lineage: Eukaryota; Metazoa; Chordata; Mammalia; Artiodactyla; Bovidae
Also listed under: 5 other names
Rfam family: tRNA
About the family: Transfer RNA (tRNA) molecules are approximately 80 nucleotides in length.
Source: Rfam by way of RNAcentral